This is an RNA transcript of Populus nigra (black poplar), 1712 nucleotides long. RefSeq lists it as uncharacterized. NCBI's taxonomy places the organism in Eukaryota, Viridiplantae, Streptophyta, Magnoliopsida, Malpighiales, Salicaceae. The transcript has 4 exons. The record is from RefSeq and is a predicted model, not a curated record.
AAAAUGAAAAUUUUUUAAAUUUUUUUAAACACAAUUACCAACUAACCCUCCAAACCUAAUCAAUUUUCAAAACGUGACCGUAAGAAUAAUAAAUAACGAAACCCUUUCUCACAUCCUUCCUUGCCUCCUCUUCGUACAUCCGCCGAUGUGGUGAGCGCCUUCUUCACAGAACACGCACACACACACAAAGAAAAGAAUAGAGAGAGAGAGAGAUGAAGUUCAAGGCAUUUGUGACUGAGAAUGGCGUAAGUCUGUUGGACAGGAGAUUCCUGCCUGCCUUGGAUAAAAUGGGAAAGAUUUGCCAUCUUUUCCUCACCAGAGAGCACGCCUUCUUCCUCCACAACCUCCUUACCACCCCGGACGGCAUCCAAUCCAUCGCUCAGUUCCGCAAACAAGCUCUCUUCGACGACUAUCGUAUUUCCAGCCAGAAUGAAGACCGCAUUGCGUUCGCCUUUGACAUCUCCCUCCUUCUUCGCGCUGUUCGUAGCAGUGUCAGUAUUAUUUCCAGUGAAUCUGGGGGUGCGAAUCGGCUUCAGGUUAAAUUGGUGAAGAAGCUGCCUCCUAAUUCUACUCAGCCAAUGCCCUUUCUUACCUUUGAGACAAAGGGUUAUAAGUCUGCUGUUAUUCAAGAUGUUCCCAUUUCCAAGCCUCUGUCUAGGGAUCAACUUCUGCAACUUCAAGCUGCUCUUGACGCUGCCCAAGAUCUUCCUCGGACUCUGGUUCAGGUUCCUGAUUUGAAUCGGCUGCAGAACUUUGUUGAUCGCAUGAAGCAUGUUGGUGAUCUUCUGAAUGUUUCUAUAAGCAAGUACGGGGAUCUUCACCUGCAGAUUUCAACUACCUUGAUCACACUUGGUGCUGAGUUUCGCAAGCUGUUGGUUGUUGGAGAUAAAGCCCAAGCCCCAGAUGAGGAUCGAGAUUUAAGUGCGCAGACUCGAUCAGAGAGGGCGAUUUUGAUGGGAGAUGCUCAGUCUGUGCAGGUCAGUGUAAGACACUUUUCUAAGAGUCUACAGUGUCACUUGGCCAAGCCGGAUUGUGCUUUCUAUGGGAUUGCCCCUCAGGGUGCUUGUUUGACUGUGAUAUUCCAGUUCUUCAUUCCCGGAACUCGUCAAACUGAUAAAUCUAUCAGUCUACAUUGUAGGCUUCCUGUCCUUGACCCAGGGUCAAGCUGAAGUUCCAUAGCUUCAAAUGAGAUGCCAUCAUUUGGCUUUGUUUGUCUAUAAUGAUAUUAGCUGACAUCUAGAUUUACUCAAGGGUGUCUCGCAUGUUGCUGGUUAUUUAGAAGGGUUUGAAUAACUCCCAACUGGCUAUGGUGAAUCAUGUUUUGUUGCAGUGAGGGAACAGAUGGUAAUUGAGCUUGAUGACAAGCGGAGUUGCUGAUGUUCGACAAGUAGUAGCAUGAGUAAGAGACACUUUUUUAUCCUGGGACUUUGCAAGGAGGAGGAGCAGGAGCAGCAAUGGUGGAUGUAACUGGUCACCGGCAACAAGUUCACGGACAAUGCCAUUCAUCUCUAUCAAGCUGCAACCUGGGGCUUUCUUGAAACUUGGUUCACUGUUUUUAUUUGCUUUUAAAGUUAUUAAGUUAAUUUACUAUACCAUAAAAAUAUGAAGAAGAUAAAUUUGUCCGAAUAUAAUAAAUUAAUGAAUCAUGUACACCAUCAACAAGGACAAUGAUUUUUGUAUAAAAUGGCAAAAUCAUUAUUAUAUUAUUCCAA